RNAcentral lists this ribosomal RNA (254 nucleotides) under uncultured bacterium. RNAcentral's name for it is "partial 16S ribosomal RNA". It matches the Rfam family "Bacterial small subunit ribosomal RNA", at positions 524 to 776 of the family's 1533-position model. The record is from RNAcentral.
UACGAAGGGGGCUAGCGUUGUUCGGAAUUACUGGGCGUAAAGAGCGCGUAGGCGGCGCGGUACGACCGCUGUGAAAGCCCCCAGCUCAACUGGGGAGGGUCAGCGGUAACGGCCGUGCUUUGAGUGCAGGAGAGGGAAGUGGAACUCCGGGAGUAGCGGUGAAAUGCGUAGAGACCCGGAGGAACACCAGUGGCGAAGGCGGCUUCCUGGUCUGCGACUGACGCUGUGGCGCGAAAGCUAGGGGAGCAAACGGG